This 433-nucleotide ribosomal RNA is filed under the name uncultured bacterium. RNAcentral's name for it is "partial 16S ribosomal RNA". It matches the Rfam family "Bacterial small subunit ribosomal RNA", at positions 29 to 507 of the family's 1533-position model. The record is from RNAcentral.
AACGAACGCUGGCGGCAUGCCUAACACAUGCAAGUCGAACGAGACCUUCGGGUCUAGUGGCGCACGGGUGCGUAACGCGUGGGAACCUGCCCUUAGGUUCGGCAUAACUCCCCGAAAGGGGUGCUAAUACCGGCUAAUGUCUUCGGACCAAAGAUUUAUCGCCUUUGGUUGGGCCCGCGUUGGAUUAGCUAGUUGGUAGGGUAAAAGCCUACCAAGGCGACGAUCCAUAGCUGGUCUGAGAGGAUGAUCAGCCACACUGGGACUGAGACACGGCCCAGACUCCUACGGGAGGCAGCAGUGGGGAAUAUUGGACAAUGGGCGAAAGCCUGAUCCAGCAAUGCCGCGUGAGUGAUGAAGGCCUUAGGGUUGUAAAGCUCUUUUACCCGGGAUGAUAAUGACAGUACCGGGAGAAUAAGCUCCGGCUAACUCCGUG